UAAGCGCGCGACCUAUACCCG
Molecule: small nuclear RNA, 21 nt
Filed under: Arabidopsis thaliana (thale cress)
Lineage: Eukaryota; Viridiplantae; Streptophyta; Magnoliopsida; Brassicales; Brassicaceae
Description: snRNA_17192
Source: RNAcentral